RNAcentral lists this ribosomal RNA (2930 nucleotides) under Escherichia coli. RNAcentral's name for it is "bacterial LSU rRNA". It matches the Rfam family "Bacterial large subunit ribosomal RNA". Lineage: Bacteria; Pseudomonadati; Pseudomonadota; Gammaproteobacteria; Enterobacterales; Enterobacteriaceae. The record is from RNAcentral.
GGGUUGUGAGGUUAAGCGACUAAGCGUACACGGUGGAUGCCCUGGCAGUCAGAGGCGAUGAAGGACGUGCUAAUCUGCGAUAAGCGUCGGUAAGGUGAUAUGAACCGUUAUAACCGGCGAUUUCCGAAUGGGGAAACCCAGUGUGUUUCGACACACUAUCAUUAACUGAAUCCAUAGGUUAAUGAGGCGAACCGGGGGAACUGAAACAUCUAAGUACCCCGAGGAAAAGAAAUCAACCGAGAUUCCCCCAGUAGCGGCGAGCGAACGGGGAGCAGCCCAGAGCCUGAAUCAGUAUGUGUGUUAGUGGAAGCGUCUGGAAAGGCGCGCGAUACAGGGUGACAGCCCCGUACACAAAAAUGCACAUAUUGUGAGCUCGAUGAGUAGGGCGGGACACGUGGUAUCCUGUCUGAAUAUGGGGGGACCAUCCUCCAAGGCUAAAUACUCCUGACUGACCGAUAGUGAACCAGUACCGUGAGGGAAAGGCGAAAAGAACCCCGGCGAGGGGAGUGAAAAAGAACCUGAAACCGUGUACGUACAAGCAGUGGGAGCACGCUUAGGCGUGUGACUGCGUACCUUUUGUAUAAUGGGUCAGCGACUUAUAUUCUGUAGCAAGGUUAACCGAAUAGGGGAGCCGAAGGGAAACCGAGUCUUAACUGGGCGUUAAGUUGCAGGGUAUAGACCCGAAACCCGGUGAUCUAGCCAUGGGCAGGUUGAAGGUUGGGUAACACUAACUGGAGGACCGAACCGACUAAUGUUGAAAAAUUAGCGGAUGACUUGUGGCUGGGGGUGAAAGGCCAAUCAAACCGGGAGAUAGCUGGUUCUCCCCGAAAGCUAUUUAGGUAGCGCCUCGUGAAUUCAUCUCCGGGGGUAGAGCACUGUUUCGGCAAGGGGGUCAUCCCGACUUACCAACCCGAUGCAAACUGCGAAUACCGGAGAAUGUUAUCACGGGAGACACACGGCGGGUGCUAACGUCCGUCGUGAAGAGGGAAACAACCCAGACCGCCAGCUAAGGUCCCAAAGUCAUGGUUAAGUGGGAAACGAUGUGGGAAGGCCCAGACAGCCAGGAUGUUGGCUUAGAAGCAGCCAUCAUUUAAAGAAAGCGUAAUAGCUCACUGGUCGAGUCGGCCUGCGCGGAAGAUGUAACGGGGCUAAACCAUGCACCGAAGCUGCGGCAGCGACACUAUGUGUUGUUGGGUAGGGGAGCGUUCUGUAAGCCUGUGAAGGUGUGCUGUGAGGCAUGCUGGAGGUAUCAGAAGUGCGAAUGCUGACAUAAGUAACGAUAAAGCGGGUGAAAAGCCCGCUCGCCGGAAGACCAAGGGUUCCUGUCCAACGUUAAUCGGGGCAGGGUGAGUCGACCCCUAAGGCGAGGCCGAAAGGCGUAGUCGAUGGGAAACAGGUUAAUAUUCCUGUACUUGGUGUUACUGCGAAGGGGGGACGGAGAAGGCUAUGUUGGCCGGGCGACGGUUGUCCCGGUUUAAGCGUGUAGGCUGGUUUUCCAGGCAAAUCCGGAAAAUCAAGGCUGAGGCGUGAUGACGAGGCACUACGGUGCUGAAGCAACAAAUGCCCUGCUUCCAGGAAAAGCCUCUAAGCAUCAGGUAACAUCAAAUCGUACCCCAAACCGACACAGGUGGUCAGGUAGAGAAUACCAAGGCGCUUGAGAGAACUCGGGUGAAGGAACUAGGCAAAAUGGUGCCGUAACUUCGGGAGAAGGCACGCUGAUAUGUAGGUGAAGUCCCUCGCGGAUGGAGCUGAAAUCAGUCGAAGAUACCAGCUGGCUGCAACUGUUUAUUAAAAACACAGCACUGUGCAAACACGAAAGUGGACGUAUACGGUGUGACGCCUGCCCGGUGCCGGAAGGUUAAUUGAUGGGGUUAGCCGCAAGGCGAAGCUCUUGAUCGAAGCCCCGGUAAACGGCGGCCGUAACUAUAACGGUCCUAAGGUAGCGAAAUUCCUUGUCGGGUAAGUUCCGACCUGCACGAAUGGCGUAAUGAUGGCCAGGCUGUCUCCACCCGAGACUCAGUGAAAUUGAACUCGCUGUGAAGAUGCAGUGUACCCGCGGCAAGACGGAAAGACCCGUGAACCUUUACUAUAGCUUGACACUGAACAUUGAGCCUUGAUGUGUAGGAUAGGUGGGAGGCUUUGAAGUGUGGACGCCAGUCUGCAUGGAGCCGACCUUGAAAUACCACCCUUUAAUGUUUGAUGUUCUAACGUUGACCCGUAAUCCGGGUUGCGGACAGUGUCUGGUGGGUAGUUUGACUGGGGCGGUCUCCUCCUAAAGAGUAACGGAGGAGCACGAAGGUUGGCUAAUCCUGGUCGGACAUCAGGAGGUUAGUGCAAUGGCAUAAGCCAGCUUGACUGCGAGCGUGACGGCGCGAGCAGGUGCGAAAGCAGGUCAUAGUGAUCCGGUGGUUCUGAAUGGAAGGGCCAUCGCUCAACGGAUAAAAGGUACUCCGGGGAUAACAGGCUGAUACCGCCCAAGAGUUCAUAUCGACGGCGGUGUUUGGCACCUCGAUGUCGGCUCAUCACAUCCUGGGGCUGAAGUAGGUCCCAAGGGUAUGGCUGUUCGCCAUUUAAAGUGGUACGCGAGCUGGGUUUAGAACGUCGUGAGACAGUUCGGUCCCUAUCUGCCGUGGGCGCUGGAGAACUGAGGGGGGCUGCUCCUAGUACGAGAGGACCGGAGUGGACGCAUCACUGGUGUUCGGGUUGUCAUGCCAAUGGCACUGCCCGGUAGCUAAAUGCGGAAGAGAUAAGUGCUGAAAGCAUCUAAGCACGAAACUUGCCCCGAGAUGAGUUCUCCCUGACUCCUUGAGAGUCCUGAAGGAACGUUGAAGACGACGACGUUGAUAGGCCGGGUGUGUAAGCGCAGCGAUGCGUUGAGCUAACCGGUACUAAUGAACCGUGAGGCUUAACCUUACAACGCCGAAGCUGUU